This 1039-nucleotide ribosomal RNA is filed under the name Hapalidiales sp. YB_Twist-2019. RNAcentral's name for it is "SSU rRNA". It matches the Rfam family "Eukaryotic small subunit ribosomal RNA", at positions 718 to 1781 of the family's 1831-position model. The record is from RNAcentral. Lineage: Eukaryota; Rhodophyta; Florideophyceae; Hapalidiales.
ACUUUAUUGUUGAACGUCUGUGUGCAACCACCAUUUACUGUGAAAAAAUUAAAGUGUUCAAAGCAGGCAUUUGUCGUGAAUACAUUAGCAUGGAAUAAUUGAAUAGGACUUGGUCUUAUUUUGUUGGUUUGUUAUGGCCGAGUAAUGAUUAAAAGGGACAGUUGGGGGCAUUUGUAUUCCAGAGCUAGAGGUGAAAUUCUUAGAUUUCUGGAAGACAAACCGCUGCGAAAGCGUCUGCCAAGGAUGUUUUCAUUGAUCAAGAACGAAAGUAAGGGGAUCGAAGACGAUCAGAUACCGUCGUAGUCUUUACUAUAAACGAUGAGGACUGGGGAUCGGGCGAGGAAUUGCGAUGACCCGCCCGGCACCCUCCGGGAAACCAAAGUGUUUGCUUUCUGGGGGGAGUAUGGUCGCAAGGCUGAAACUUAAAGGAAUUGACGGAAGGGCAUCACCGGGUGUGGAGCCUGCGGCUUAAUUUGACUCAACACGGGAAAACUUACCAGGUCAGGACAUAGUGAGGAUUGACAGAUUGAGAGCUCUUUCUUGAUUCUAUGGUUGGUGGUGCAUGGCCGUUCUUAGUUGGUGGAGUGAUUUGUCUGGUUAAUUCCGUUAACGAGCGAGACCUGGGCGUGCUAAAUAGGGGCUAUUACCGUUUUUGGUAGUACGUUACUCCUUCUUAGACGGACUGCGGGCGUCUAGUCCGCGGAAGCUCCAGGCAAUAACAGGUCUGAGAUGCCCUUAGAUGUUCUGGGCCGCACGCGUGCUACACUGAGUGGAUCAGCGGGUCAGGUUGCACGAAAGUGUUUCCUAAUCUUGAAAUCCGCUCGUGAUGGGGAUUGAGGGUUGCAAUUUUCCCUCAUGAACGAGGAAUACCUUGUAAGCGUGGGUCAUCAUCCCGCGCUGAAUACGUCCCUGCCCUUUGUACACACCGCCCGUCGCUCCUACCGAUUGAGUGGUCCGGUGAGGCUUUGGGAUUGCAGCGGGAAGAGCGUUUCGCUCGUUCUGCCACGAAAACUCAGUCGAACCUUAUCAUUUAGAGGAA